UACGUAGGGGGCAAGCGUUGUCCGGAAUCAUUGGGCGUAAAGCGCGUGUAGGCGGCCCGGUAAGUCCGCUGUGAAAGUCCAGGGCUCAACCCUGGAAAGCCGGUGGAUACUGUCGGGCUAGAGUCCGGAAGAGGCGAGUGGAAUUCCUGGUGUAGCGGUGAAAUGCGCAGAUAUCAGGAGGAACACCAAUUGCGAAGGCAGCUCGCUGGGACGGCACUGACGCUGAGACGCGAAAGCGUGGGGAGCAAACAGG
This 253-nucleotide ribosomal RNA is filed under the name uncultured bacterium. Its description in RNAcentral is "partial 16S ribosomal RNA". It matches the Rfam family "Bacterial small subunit ribosomal RNA", at positions 524 to 776 of the family's 1533-position model. The record is from RNAcentral.